GCCUAAGAGGGAGGUGUGAAGGCGCCCGGUCCUGAGCGCCUCCUGAAGGGUCCUCGUCUGGGGUCGGGACUCCGGUUCUGCUCCUUGCUACCUCUUACACUCUUCGCCCCUCACUUUCCUAAAAGCACCCAGGCUCCUCUCUUGGCAGCGACGGCGGUGACAGCAGCGGCGGCAAAAGUGGAGGCUGAGGCCGUGACACCUCGUGGGCUCGAGUCCAUGCCCAGCUGGAUGAACGGAAAGGCCGGGAGUGGGGAGUCAGGGGGUGCCCCCAGAGCUCAGAGGCGACCGACGGCGGCGGUUCCAGGUCAACUGGUGCUGGAAGCUUUGCUUUUUCUUAGUUGGCCCAGUUUGGGGGUGGGGUGGGAAAAGGGGGGGUAGGCGUGCGGGUGAGCGAUUCUUAGCUCUCUAAAAGCUGGGGACACCUUCGAUUAUCCGAGCUGCCCCGAAAAAGUCCUAGGCUCCCCGUCUGAGGGAGGAGAUAAAGCCCUUUCUUCUCCCGGGGAAGUGCAGCGGAGCGCGAUGGGGACCCGCUCAGUGGACUCGGCAGAGGCGGGAGCUGUCCUUAUCAAUUCUAGCUCAUUUCCCUCACCCCGGCCCUGCCCGCUUCCCCGCUUCGCAAACUGUUGGCUUCCCUCGCCGCCACCCCGUUUUGCUAAUU
RNAcentral lists this long non-coding RNA (658 nucleotides) under Rattus norvegicus (Norway rat). Its description in RNAcentral is "long non-coding RNA NONRATT013238". The record is from RNAcentral. Lineage: Eukaryota; Metazoa; Chordata; Mammalia; Rodentia; Muridae.